This 557-nucleotide ribosomal RNA is filed under the name uncultured Bacteroidota bacterium. RNAcentral describes it as "bacterial SSU rRNA". It matches the Rfam family "Bacterial small subunit ribosomal RNA", at positions 32 to 586 of the family's 1533-position model. Lineage: Bacteria; Pseudomonadati; Bacteroidota. The record is from RNAcentral.
GACGCUGCGGCAGGCCUUAUACCUGCAAGUUCGAGGGGCAGCAUUUACUUCGGUAAAUGGCGACCGGCGCACGGGUGAGUAACGCGUAUGCAACCUACCUUUAACUGGGGCAUAGCUCGAGGAAACUCGAAUUAAUUCCCCAUAGUACAUUAUAAUAUCUCAUGAUAUAAAUGUUAAAGAUUUAUCGGUUAAAGAUGGGCAUGCGUCUGAUUAGUUUGUUGGUAAGGUAACGGCUUACCAAGAACUACGAUCAGUAGGGGGUCUGAGAGGAUGAUCCCCCACACUGGUACUGAGACACGGACCAGACAUCUACGGAUGGCAGCAGUAAGGAAUAUUGGGCAAUGGGCGCAAGCCUGACCCAGCCAUGCCGCGUGCAGGAUGACGACCCUAUGGGUUGUAAACUGCUUUUAUAUAGGAAGAAAAUACUCUUGCGAGAGAAACUGACGGUACUAUAUGAAUAAGGACCGGCUAACUCCGUGCCAGCAGCCGCGGUAAUACGGAGGGUUCAAGCGUUUUCCGGAUUUAUUGGGUUUAAAGAGUGCGUAGUGGUUUAUUAA